UGUGGCCUACGGGACGCAGCAGUGGGGAAUAUUGGGCAAUGGGCGCAAGCCUGACCCAGCAACGCCGCGUGCGGGAUGAAGGCUUUCGGGUUGUAAACCGCUUUCAGCAGGGAAGAUAAUGACGGUACCUGCAGAAGAAGCCCCGGCUAACUACGUGCCAGCAGCCGCGGUAAUACGUAGGGGGCAAGCGUUAUCCGGAUUCAUUGGGCGUAAAGCGCGCGCAGGCGGGCCGCUAAGCGGGACCUCUAAUCUUGGGG
Molecule: ribosomal RNA, 257 nt
Filed under: uncultured bacterium
Lineage: Bacteria
Description: partial 16S ribosomal RNA
Rfam family: Bacterial small subunit ribosomal RNA
Source: RNAcentral